RNAcentral lists this ribosomal RNA (497 nucleotides) under uncultured bacterium. Its description in RNAcentral is "partial 16S ribosomal RNA". It matches the Rfam family "Bacterial small subunit ribosomal RNA", at positions 28 to 507 of the family's 1533-position model. The record is from RNAcentral.
GAUGAACGCUGGCGGCGUGCCUAAUACAUGCAAGUCGAGCGAACGGACGAGAAGCUUGCUUCUCUGAUGUUAGCGGCGGACGGGUGAGUAACACGUGGAUAACCUACCUAUAAGACUGGGAUAACUUCGGGAAACCGGAGCUAAUACCGGAUAAUAUUUUGAACCGCAUGGUUCAAAAGUGAAAGACGGUCUUGCUGUCACUUAUAGAUGGAUCCGCGCUGCAUUAGCUAGUUGGUAAGGUAACGGCUUACCAAGGCAACGAUGCAUAGCCGACCUGAGAGGGUAAUCGGCCACACUGGAACUGAGACACGGUCCAGACUCCUACGGGAGGCAGCAGUAGGGAAUCUUCCGCAAUGGGCGAAAGCCUGACGGAGCAACGCCGCGUGAGUGAUGAAGGUCUUCGGAUCGUAAAACUCUGUUAUUAGGGAAGAACAUAUGUGUAAGUAACUGUGCACAUCUUGACGGUACCUAAUCAGAAAGCCACGGCUAACUACGUG